Molecule: ribosomal RNA, 253 nt
Filed under: uncultured bacterium
Lineage: Bacteria
Description: partial 16S ribosomal RNA
Rfam family: Bacterial small subunit ribosomal RNA
Source: RNAcentral
UACGUAGGGUCCGAGCGUUGUCCGGAGUUACUGGGCGUAAAGCGCGCGCAGGCGGCGGCGUGGGCCCGGCGUGAAAUCCCCCGGCUCAACCCGGGAGGGGCGUCGGGGACCGCGCCUCUUGAGGGCGGGAGGGGUCGGUGGAAUGCCGGGUGUAGUGGUGAAAUGCGUAGAGAUCAGGCGGAACACCCGUGGCGAAGGCGGCUGGCUGGGCCGCUCCUGACGCUGAGGUGCGAAGGCGUGGGGAGCGAACGGG